CUUGAUGAUAUAGCAAUGCAUGGUUCUUGUCUUGUACGUACUGGAUCGGUAGUUUUGUUUUUUUUACAGACGACUCGGUUUAGGGAUAUUUUAUCUUAAGCUUGUGCCCACACAAAAUAAAGCAUGUACGAGGAAAUUGAAAUUGUUUAUCUAAUUAUGAUAAACAUGAACUCAUGUUCUCCUAUAUCAAUCAUCUUUAUCAUGUGUCCUUCAAAAAAGUUGAUCAUGUGUAAGUAAUGAAACAUUUUUGUACGCCGGUGCUCUUUUCCUCUUCCUCUUUUUUUUCAUCAAAAUAUUUAACAAG
RNAcentral lists this long non-coding RNA (304 nucleotides) under Brassica napus (rape). RNAcentral's name for it is "long non-coding RNA (BNAP_LNC005962)". Lineage: Eukaryota; Viridiplantae; Streptophyta; Magnoliopsida; Brassicales; Brassicaceae. The record is from RNAcentral.